Non-coding RNA from Pelobates cultripes (western spadefoot toad), 1568 nucleotides. NCBI's taxonomy places the organism in Eukaryota, Metazoa, Chordata, Amphibia, Anura, Pelobatidae. The record is from the annotation of a GenBank genome assembly.
CGGUGAGGUACAGCUUCAGGUAAGUAAAAUGGUACAAUGGGGGUCCCAUUUCACUGUGUCCCAGCACAUGGGAUGCAGACUGUGCAAACUUCACCUCCCCCGAGGGCUCUUUAACAGCAUUCUCUGUAGGAGCCAAGCUGCGAUCAUACCCAGUUGUGCUUUCAUAUAUAUUCGCAAAACCAUGAUUCACACAGAAUAUAAUAAUAAUAAUUUAGAUUUAUAAUACAAAAUAUUAUAAUAGCUGCUACAUCAUUGUGUCACUUCUUCCAGCCCCCCACACAAUGUAAAAUUCUUUAUUGGAAAGGUAAUCAAGAUUAGCGAUCAACCAUCAAGUGAAGGUCCUACCCGAGAAGCGUGCUACCGGAAUCCACCACCUGAAUCCACUCCAGAGCUACAAGUAGGCUCUGUUACAUUUGCAUUUGAUAUUUGUGGAUGUAAUAUUUUUUCUGUAUUUCUAUAGUUACACAGACCCUGUUCUAGAUGGCCUCAUUGGACCCAUGCCGCACCUAAAAGAGGGCAGUGCUUUUAUAGUAUUUGUCCUUAAGUCCCGUAAAUGAAUUAUUCCUUAAAACCCAUAUAAUUAAAAUUACUGCCCCUCGUGAUCACUCUGCCUCUAGUGUAAUCAGUGUCUAGGGGCCUGUUUACACCGCAGGGGAGUGUAUGGACAGUAACUGCUGGCUUCCAUGCACACAGUGACUACAAUGGGGUGAUAAUUUAUAUAGCCCUGCUAAAGAACUGCUCUUAAAAUAAACCGCAGGUUUUGGGAUAUAAGGAAUUACCUGUUAAAUUUACAAUAAUUCUACUCCCCACUUGCUGAUGACUCUACUGAAGUGACAAAAUGCAGGAUACAAAAUUAAUUUUGCAGCAUUGUCAUCUGAUAUUUAUUUACAAAUUAAUAUUUGUUUAUUUCGCAUCUGAAUAUCUAACACAAGCGUGGAACGCUUGGAGUAAUUUUUAUAGAAAAAAGAAAUUCAAUUGCUUCAAUCUCAUACAGCAGCUACGUUACGUUAUUAGUUUCCUUUUACCAAAAAGAAGAUUUUAAAAAAUAUAUAAUUGGAUGACAUCUCUGUGACUCAUGGGAGUAACUGAUGUGUGUAUUUCUGAAGUUGUCCUGGUAUCUCUCCCUCCCUUAUAACCGUCAGAAUUUCAGCUUUUUACAGAGGUCUGGCCUUUUGACAGUACACAAGAAACAGGAAUGGGAAUUCAAGAAUGUAAUUUGUCACUUAAACACAUACUGGUCACUUUGAUAAUCCCUCGACAUUUUACAGAAAAAAUAGGUGCGUUUUUUAAUCCUUACAGGUUUGGAAUGGAACUGUGCAAAACAUCUUCAACAUUUCAUUAGAAUCUGCUAUAAAUGAAUAUGCAGUGAAGUUGUACAAGUGGAGUAAUUACCAUGGAAACCAAAGGAAUGUUUUUAAGAACUUUGCCCAUAUUAUAUCUCUUUAUAUAACUGCCUAUAUUUAGUACAUUACAUUGAUGUAGGACAUAUUUGUUAAAGACAAGUUGAAGGCUAUUACUACUCUGUACAGCUAACAAAAAGGAAUUUAGUAAUAAAAUGACAGAAAUGU